GAUGAACGCUGGCGGCGCGCCUAACACAUGCAAGUCGAACGAUUAAAGCACCUUCGGGUGUGUAUAAAGUGGCGAACGGCUGAGUAACACGUGGGCAACCUGCCUUUUACUUUGGGAUAGCCUCGGGAAACCGAGGAUAAUACCGAAUACUUUGUAUGUAUCGCAUGGUAUAUACAAGAAAGCUUUUGCGGUAAAAGAUGGGCCCGCGGCCUGUUAGCUUGUUGGUGAGGUAACGGCUCACCAAGGCAAUGAUGGGUAGCCGGGUUGAGAGACCGACCGGCCAGAUUGGGACUGAGACACGGCCCAGACUCCUACGGGAGGCAGCAGUGGGGAAUCUUGCGCAAUGGGGGAAACCCUGACGCAGCGACGCCGCGUGCGGGAUGAAGGCCUUCGGGUUGUAAACCGCUUUCAGCAGGGACGAGGCCUUAUGGUGACGGUACCUGCAGAAGAAGCUCCGGCUAAAUACGUGCCAGCAGCCGCGGUAAUACGUAUGGAGCAAGCGUUAUCCGGAUUCAUUGGGCGUAAAGCGCUCGUAGGCGGUCUGUUAGGUCGGCAAGUUAAAUCCGGGGGCUCAACCCCCGUCCGCUUCCGAUACCGGCAGACUUGAGUUUGGUAGGGGAAGGUGGAAUUCCUAGUGUAGCGGUGGAAUGCGCAGAUAUUAGGAAGAACACCGGUGGCGAAGGCGGCCUUCUGGGCCAUAACUGACGCUGAGGAGCGAAAGCUAGGGGAGCGAACAGG
RNAcentral lists this ribosomal RNA (738 nucleotides) under uncultured Atopobium sp. Its description in RNAcentral is "bacterial SSU rRNA". It matches the Rfam family "Bacterial small subunit ribosomal RNA", at positions 28 to 776 of the family's 1533-position model. The record is from RNAcentral. Lineage: Bacteria; Bacillati; Actinomycetota; Coriobacteriia; Coriobacteriales; Atopobiaceae.